RNA transcript from Camelus dromedarius (Arabian camel), 12897 nucleotides. It is a transcript of the gene named leucine rich repeat containing 8 VRAC subunit B, with no coding region annotated. The record is from RefSeq and is a predicted model, not a curated record. Lineage: Eukaryota; Metazoa; Chordata; Mammalia; Artiodactyla; Camelidae. The transcript is spliced from 6 exons.
GAAUUUUUCAAGCAGAAACUAACUGCAGAGCUUCCGGUUGACCAGCACUCACAGGAAUGAAGACAAUCACAGAGAUGGUGUGUCUAAGAAAUUUCAAAAGGUGUAGGCCUCCUGACUGAAGAACAGUCAACUUCUCAGAUUCAUUUUUCUCACUAUACUUCUGUACUCCUGCAAGGGGAAGUCAUGAUUACACUAACAGAGCUGAAAUGUUUAGCAGACGCCCAGUCAUGUUAUCACAUCCUGAAACCGUGGUGGGACGUCUUCUGGUAUUACAUCACCCUGAUCAUGCUGCUGGUGGCCGUGCUGGCUGGAGCCCUCCAGCUGACACAGAGUAGGGUUCUGUGCUGUCUCCCAUGUAAGGUGGAGUUCGACAAUCACUGCGCCGUGCCUUGGGACGUCCUGAAAGCCAGCAUGAACGCGUCCUCUGAUCCCGGGCCACCGCCUCCGCUCCCCCUCAGAAUCCAGAACGACCUCCACCGACAGCAGUAUGCCUACAUUGACGCUGUCUGCUACGAGAAGCAGCUCCACUGGUUUGCAAAGUUCUUCCCCUACCUGGUGCUCUUGCACACGCUCAUCUUUGCAGCCUGCAGCAACUUUUGGCUUCACUACCCCAGCACCAGUUCCCGGCUCGAGCACUUUGUUGCCAUCCUGCACAAGUGCUUCGAUUCUCCAUGGACCACCCGAGCCCUGUCGGAAACGGUGGCCGAACAGUCAGGGCGACCCCUGACACUCUCCAAGUCCAAGGUUUUGCUUUCGUCCUCAGGGUGCUCAGCCGACGUCGAUUCCAACAAGCAGCCGUUGCCCUUCCCGCAGCCUGGCUUGGAGUCAGCCGGCUUGGAAAGCCCGGCCUCUAGCGUCCUGGACAAGAAGGAGGGCGAACAGGCCAAAGCCAUCUUUGAAAAAGUGAAAAGGUUCCGCGUGCAUGUGGAGCAGAAGGACAUCAUUUACAGAGUGUAUCUGAAGCAGAUCAUCGUCAAGGUCAUUCUGUUUGUCCUCAUCAUCACAUACGUUCCGUACUUUUUAACCUACAUCGCUCUUGAAAUCGACUGCUCGGUGGACCUGCAGGCUUUCACGGGGUAUAAGCGCUACCAGUGCGUCUACUCCUUGGCGGAGAUAUUUAAGGUCCUGGCUUCGUUUUACGUCAUCUUGGUGAUACUUUACGGCCUCACCUCCUCGUACAGCUUGUGGUGGAUGCUGCGGAGUUCUCUGAAGCAGUACUCCUUUGAGGCGCUGCGAGAGAAGACCAACUACAGUGACGUCCCGGACGUCAAGAAUGACUUCGCCUUCAUCCUGCACCUGGCUGACCAGUACGACCCUCUUUACUCCAGACGCUUCUCCGUCUUCCUGUCGGAGGUCAGUGAGAACAAACUGAAACAGAUCAACCUCAACAACGAGUGGACGGUUGAGAAACUGAAGAGUAAGCUUGUGAAGAAUCCCCAGGACAAGGCAGAGCUGCACCUUUUCAUGCUAAACGGUCUUCCAGACAAUGUCUUUGAGUUGACUGAAAUCGAAGUGCUCAGCCUGGAGCUGAUCCCUGAGGUCAAGCUGCCCUCCGCAGUCUCGCAGCUGGUCAACCUCAGGGAGCUCCACGUGUACCAUUCAUCUCUGGUGGUCGACCAUCCCGCCCUGGCCUUCCUAGAGGAGAAUUUAAAAAUCCUCCGCCUGAAAUUUACUGAAAUGGGGAAAAUUCCCCGCUGGGUGUUCCACCUGAAGAAUCUCAAGGAACUUUACCUGUCGGGCUGUGUUCUACCUGAGCAGGUGAGUACCAUGCAGCUGGAGGGCUUCCAGGACUUGAAAAACCUGAGGACCCUCUACUUGAAGAGCAGCCUCUCCCGGAUCCCACAAGUCAUCACAGACCUCCUGCCUUCGCUGCAGAAGUUGUCCCUCGAUAAUGAGGGAAGCAAACUGGUUGUGUUGAACAACUUGAAAAAGAUGGUCCAUCUGAAAAGCCUGGAGCUGAUCAGCUGCGACCUGGAACGCAUUCCACACUCCAUCUUCAGCCUGAACAAUUUGCAUGAGUUAGACCUCAGAGAAAAUAACCUUAAAACUGUGGAAGAGAUCAUUAGCUUUCAGCAUCUGCAGAAUCUUUCCUGCUUGAAGUUGUGGCACAAUAACAUCGCUUAUAUUCCUGCACAGAUCGGGGCAUUAUCUAAUCUCGAGCAGCUCUUUCUGGACCAUAACAACAUAGAGAAUCUGCCCCUGCAGCUUUUCCUGUGCACCAAACUACAUUACCUGGAUCUAAGCUACAACCACCUGACCUUCAUUCCGGAAGAAAUCCAGUAUCUGAGUAAUCUGCAGUACUUUGCUGUGACCAACAACAACAUUGAGAUGCUACCAGAUGGGCUGUUUCAGUGCAAAAAGCUGCAGUGUUUACUUUUGGGGAAAAAUAGCCUGAUGAGUUUGUCCCCUCACGUGGGUGAGCUGUCGAACCUUACUCAUCUGGAGCUCAUGGGUAAUUACCUGGAAACGCUUCCUCCUGAACUGGAAGGGUGCCAGUCCCUAAAACGGAGCUGCCUGAUCGCCGAGGAAAGCUUGCUCAGUACCCUUCCUCCUCCUGUAACAGAACGUCUGCAGACGUGCUUAGAUAAAUGUUGACCUAAAGGGCAAAUCAUUUCUAAGAGAACACUCCAGGGCUUUAAAUGAGAACUAAAAUUUCCUGAGUUACAAGGAUGAAAAAUGGAUCUUUGUGAGUAACUAGAACCAAAUGUCUUAUUAAAGAAACUCAGUGUCUAUCCCUAAAUUAAACAGGUAAAAAAGUGUUAACACUGAACAAAGUUUUGUGAGUCACUGAUCUUUAACUUACGGAGAUGUCCGAGGUGCACGUGGAGGGUGAAUGGGGGCGUGACGUUGCUGCAGUUUACACCCUAAAGAGUAGACAUUCCCCCCCCCAGCCCCUGUUACUUAUUUGCACACUUGUUUUAGCGGACUUCCUGUUGUGACAUUUGUCACCUAGACCAUAAACGCAUCAGUAUAAAGUCCCUUGAUGUGCCCUCAGCACUGUCUUUGAUUUCUGUUCUUAAAUAUUUUUAAGCAGGGUGCAUUGUGCUUGGCAGAAUUCCUUCUCGGCUCAAUUUUUACUUCCUGUCCCAGCUUCCUUGAGUCUUCCUUUAAUGACAGUGAUGAACGCUGAGGAAGUGCCUGCCUUUGGCCUUUACCUGGAGCAGGAGCAGGGUACUUAGGGCACGUCACCCUCGGGGCGUCCUAAAAAUGAAUGUGUCCGCUGAAAGGUCCUCUUGUGUAUCGUCAAAGCCUUUUUUAUUUGCUAGUAAUUUUUAUAUUCAAUGUAAAACACAUAAAUAUUUUCUAUUAUAUAAUCUUGGAUUCAAAAUCUGUGGGAAUGAUUUUUGUAAGGUACAGGGAACACAUGCAUUUCUUUAAGAAUUUAUUAUUAAUAUGCUUGGUUUGGGCGGCUUCUGAUUCUCAUAUUUGUGUGCAUUCUGCUCCAAAAUGUUUUUGUACUCUGCAACUAAUUACUUUUGGAUAACAAAAGCCUUGUGUUUCAUGCCCUAAAAUAUUUGGGGGUUUCCUUCUAAGAGGACGGCCGUAUCGUCUGCCUCUCUCUUCCCUGGUCACCCUGCUGUCGCUGUGCUAACUGCUCCCAGAGCUGUGGUGGAGGGGCAGGCGCAGAUCUGGGUCUUUAAAACUGCCUGUAAAACACUCUGUAGAAGUAAGAGUUAAGCCAAACACUUUUCUUCUCCGUCUGCAUGAUCUCUAGAUGUGAUAAUGAUGUAAAACACUCAGCCUCUAUGCGGUGGUUCAGAUGAGCUCUCAAAGCUCAGAAAGAAGUAGGUCCACUUAACUGAAAUGCAUCUCAUGCCUUUGUCCAACUUUCCUGGAGUCCAUUUUGCUCUUUUUUAUAAAGAGCUUUGUGCUUGGCCGUUGAUUAUCACACAUGUUGUAAAAUGAAUAAAAUCGACUGACUCGUUCGGGGGAAUGUGCAUUUCCAAUGCGGUUUCUCUGACGGGCCCAGGCGUCGUGCUGCCGCCUCGCUCUGGACGUAGCCGUGAAGGGAUCUGCUAGCCGCGCCUGGACAGACCUGGGAGGCGCACGGAACCGUGAGGUGCAGUGCUUCGUGCUCUGCCCCUUCCAGAGGAUGAAGUGGGUCUUUAAAUUACAGCAAAAUGCAGCUUCCCUCACCUGCCACUCACCCCUGGACUGGUCCGCAGAGAAGAGAAUUGUUCACAUCAGACGAGAUUUGAGUAAUACUAACUAUAAAACACACAAGACACCAAAGGCUGCCUAAAACAUUGUUUAUUUUGUUGUAAACAAGUGUAAAAACGCAAUUCUUACCAAAACUUGCCUUUAGUCAGAACACUCGAGUUCUCAGGGUCCCAGGCGUAAUGACGAAGUGUUCCUCUAGGGCUUCAGAAAACAGAUUCUCACUCUCUCUAGGGUUUUCUGUUAUUUUCAAUUUUCUUAAUGUGAGUUGAUCAUUUUAAUGUUUUGCAUCUGUGUUUCACAAUAGACUUGUCAUGUGUACCGAGUCCACUGUUGGAUAGGAUUAUCUGACGUUUGGAACAUGAAUAUGAUACAUGGACGUAUGUUUAAAUGUUUUGGGCCAUGUAAUUAGCCAUAAUUUGUAUGAAAAAUCCCACCCUCUUCUAUAAGAAAGAGUUUUCAAAAACAGUUUUCAGAUUUGCUACCAUUUCUUUGAGACUGGACCUUCUCCACGGCUAGUCACUGGUUCUGUUUACCUGCAAAAGUCACUAACUAAAUCGCACCCACUGUUGAAACCCUAGAAGCGAGUUACUGUCGGGCUCAAUGGUGAAUUUUGUAAGCUGCUUUCCAGACAGCAGGGUGUGGUCCCUGUUCUUGACGCCGUAGCUGUUGGACCUCUUCUUUGCUUCAGCCCCACGCGUCAGUGUUGGGGAGCUUUUCGAAUGAUGUGGCACUGACGCCAUGGACUCUGAGGCCACCCACUUAAUGUGCAAAAGUCUGGUGUUUGAUGCCACCUCUACCGCUCUGUGGGAGCAGAUCUUCAUUUUGCAAGUGUUUGUAUUCAUAUAAGAGGAUUUUAAACGAAGAAAAUAAAGUUUGUUCACUUAUAAUUUUGAGACUUUAGGUGGCACUUGAUUUCCAAGAAUGUAUCAUGUAUUUUCCAAAAAAAUAUAGAUGUUAUUCAGAACAAAGUUUAAGGCUUAUGCUGACAAUGGCAUUGAUUCAUUUACUUACAUCCACACACAAGGAGACACAGAUGCACAAAGACGAGCUUGCGUACACAGACACACACCCCUGUGUGUGCAAAAUGUAACUUACUAGUUCUGGAUAUGUUUAGUGUUUUUCCAAAGUCUCCAGAGGCUGCGGGUUAGCGCUGGGAUAGGCAUUCUGUUUUAUUCCUCACUUGUAAUCGCGGAGUGCUCCAUUCUCUUAGUUAUAACAUUUCAAAGAAAACUGAAUGCUCAGCCUCGGUCUGCAAACCUAGGUGGUUCUGAGCAUUCCUGGUAAGGAAGGUGUUCCCUCCCUAACCUGUGUCGGGGUACGUCUGUGUGGCACUUAGACACGGCGUUUCAUCCUUCAUCCUCAGCCCUCGAUCUCUCCCCCAGAUAGCACCACGUCUUGCUGUCACUCAGCAGAUGUUUGUGCUAAACAGGGUGCACAGAGGUCCUCGGGGUCCCAGCGCUGUGGCUUAGCUCCAGCGUAAGUGCAGUGAGUUACUGGCUUAACAUUGCUGUUUGAUAGUGAAAUACUUGUUUCUGUCCUUUGGGCGUCUCGUGAGUCGAGUCCUGUGGCUUAAUUAGGGUUUGCGUUAUAUCGACGGGCUCGGAAACCACUGAAACAAUCAUCCUUGAGGGCUUACAGCUUUCCUUCCUCGUAUUUUCAUUGAAAUGCUCUUUCCGUCUUUACUGUCCCUUCGCACUGUCCCGUCCGAUAAGGAAUUUUGUUCUCCCUCUCCACUCGCCCGCUUCCUUGAAUUUGUGAGGCAACAGAGUGUGUUUGUGCUGGAGGACGUGCAGUGACCCUCGGGCACGUAUCUUGGGGGGAGCCAGAGCCCAUCACUGUGCCUGACUGCUUAGUUCUCUUGUCCCAUCCUGCAGAAUUUAGGGCUGGUCCCGUGAUCCCUCAUCCCUGCCAGCAGCCCGUGACUAUAACUGGAGACCCACUUUGUUUUCAGGAGCUACGUAUUGCGUCAGUGUUUCUUUCUUUCUGGAAACAAGAGGAAGGCUGGUGGGAGAGGAGAGGAGAGGAGUUACUUUGCAUCCUGGUGUGAAUUAUGAAGACAUUAUAUACAUGAAAUGGCAUAAACUAAUAACUGCUGCAAAAUGCCCUGGAUAUAAUUACUUCUUAUCUUCAGCUGGAUAUGGAAGUUGAAGCAGGGGGAACACUGCUGUGCUGUUUAACUGGUUCCUUCCAGUUUCCGGCCCAGCACUGCUGCAUGCACUGGGGACUGUCUACCAAGUACCUUUGGUAAUGGACUGCGUUCUCUCCAACUUUUUUUUAUGUGAACAAUUUCAUCAACCCCUAAAGCAUUAACAGAAUAUAUGAGCCAAAGUACUGAGUGGCAGUGGCUUCCAGCUGAACUGAAUUCAUUCUUAAGUUUGCGUUUGACUUGUGUAACACGCCACUGCUGAGAAAAACAGGAAUGCCUCCUGCAUGUUACAUACUAUCUCUGACAGAGACGGUGCAAUUUUAAAAAUACAAAGGGGCACAGAAUUAAAAUGGAUGUGUUUGUGCGUAUGUGUGUUGUGUGUAACCCUAAAUAUUUAUGCUCAGAUAUUUUUAAAAACUCUUCAAAUGUUUCACUCUCAGCAAAGUAAUGGGCCAACCCUGAGUAGAGGCAUUUUCUUUUGUUAGCUAGCUUCACAGUGACAGCUAGCAUCCAUUAUUUUGUCUUUGUCACGUCUUUUGAAACAUGUACAUAGUUGGUUUUUGCUUCUGAUAAUGAUUAUUUGAAGAUGUAAGGUUUUGCUGUGAGUUGAAUGUUUUGGGCCCUCAGGUUUACCGUGUAAAUCUGCAUCUUGGUAGUAACCAUUCUGCCUGAGAUUCAGUAGUUUUUGGUAAAUUUUACUGUUUUUAAGGUAAUUUUUGUGUAAAAUAAAAAUCUGAUUUUUCUAAUAAAUGGCGAAUACAAGCGGACGCCGUGUCGGACAGUGCCCGCCACUUCUUUCGCCCUCGCGGCCCAGGUGCCAGAGGGACCCUCCUCUUCCCACGGCUCCCUGGGCAGCUGUCCUGUUGUAUUAUUCACCGGAAGAUUGACUUUAGACUUGCAUGCAGAUCUCACAACAGUAGUGGGAGAUUUCAAAAUACACUACAACGGCCGCAAAAUAUCAAGACCCUGGAAAGAGCCGGCUUGAGCCGAGAACGCGCUGGGGUGGGGGAGGGCGUGAAGUCUGCCGCUCUCCUGACAGGCCCAUCUGUCCAGUCGUGCUCACCCUUGGGGACUGGUGUUCACAGACCAGCCCAUCUCUCCCCGCCUCCUUCCUGACUCCCGUUUCUCUGUGUGCUGUUAGUCCAACACCGACACUGAAUGGUGGCCUGGAUCAGUAAAAAGUGAGAAGCUGCAAGGUAGGAACUUUUGAGAAGGUUUAGUAAAGGGAGAAAAAAUUGAAUUAUCAGGUAAGCUAGGCAUGCAUUGGUUGAAACUUUUGGAUGGAAGACGUUCCUCUUUCAGACACACACACACACACACACACACACACACACAUGAGUUUACACACAGUAAAGCAGGUACCGAGAGAACAGAACUCAAUACAGAUGAAGGAAACCAGGCGGCCGUAUUUUCUCCUGGAAAUGCAGUUCUGCAAGUGAGGCUUUCCCUCACCUCUAAGUGCCUUAGGAGUGGGGAUGCGUUAGGAAAUGAAGCCAGUGCCUGAGCCCGGGCCUCCCUGCGAGGUGCCUUGGGUGCCGGGUCCUGUGACCCAGCCCAGAGUGCAGGGACCAGGUGGCCUCGGGUUCCUCAGCUCUCCCUUCUGCUUUGCAAACUCACUUUUCAACCCACACCCAGGGCCUGGCUGUGCAAGAGAGAGGCUGCGCUGGCGCCGUGGAGGCCACGGUUUGACUCUCUGGAGCUGCAGCUUGUGCCUGGGUUCCUGCCCCUCGUCUCGGUUCUCUGAAAUCCGGGUUCCUGGCGUGUGUCCUCUGUCCCUCUCAUCUCUCAGGUCUAGAGCAAAGCAGUUAUCCAAAAGCACAGAGCCAGACCUUGAACUCAACCCCACACUUAGGAAGAAUAUAUAUGCCAAAGAAGGAUCAGGAAAAAAGUCACUUUUUGAUGCGCGUCGUCUUUGGAGAGCCAGCUCUCUGCGCCCGCGUAGCUUCGUCGUGCUCCAGGCCAGCAUUCCUAGUCCUGCCUCUGCCGUGCCACGGAGUCUCCAGGACGGCCUGUGUGCUUCUGAGGAGCUUUUCAAAUUGCUGCUUAUACCAAUACCUUCUGUGUCCGGUGCCUUUUUACACAGGCCUGCUUGUUGGUGUGUGGACGGCUCACACACAUCUUUUCUGAUUCUCUGCCUCCCUCUGCCGCUGAGAUGAGAGUAAGUCAAGCAGACGUGUGCUCGGUUCCCACUCCCUCCCGUGGGUUCAUUUCCUCCCCGCCCUGCCUGUGUCUAGUGCAGCCCCCGAGGUAGGCGCUGGAGGACUCAGGGACCCUCCUUAGUCUCGAUGACUCCAUCUCGAGUGAGAUGCACUGAGAAGCCCCAUGCAGUUCCCAGCACCAGGACCAGACCAGACGUGAGCAGGCGGCCUGGGUACAAGAGGGAGGUGGCGCUUCGAGACUACUACGAGCAGAGAGACAGGUGCGGGGAGGGGGCUGCUGGGCAAAGGAGGGUUCUCACGGCACUUCUGUGCACCAUCCCCAGGGGAUGGUCUCGUCCCCCAGGCCUCAUCGGCUGCUGGGUCUCCCUUCCCGUCUCUCCAGCGGGGCGCCCUGCUUUUCGGCCCCGACUCUGUCCCUUCCCGGUCCCACUCCCUGCAGACUCCAGAGCCUGUCUCCCUCCCUCCCCCUCCCUCCCCCUCUGUCUCCCUGUCCCUGCCUCUGUCUCUCUCUGUCUCUCUCCGGGCUGUCUGGCACUGGCCUAACCGCAUACUCCAAGCUUACGUACCCUCACCCAUCACUAAACCCCAGCUUUGAAAGUAUCACACACCUGCCGUAUCAAAGGGGGUGUUUUAGCCUGUGCUCAUCAAAAUGAAUGUCUUUCCGUUAUCAAGGUCCCCACUCCCUGCAAGGGGGCUUCCUGGCACAACUCCGGGUUCCAAAGAAGAGACUUGCUCACUGCGCUGGACAGAGUAGGGCCAUCGCGUCCCCUAGGCUGGUGACCUAGCUGCACGUGGAGACCUGAGUGGCCUGGUCCCCACCCUUUACCAGUCAUUCCGGUGGCACUCGGUGUCCCUUGUAAGUGAGCACCCGGUCCAGGGUUCAAACACCGCCUUGUGCGGGGAGUCCCCCUCCAGUCUUCCCUCGAGCGGGGGGGAGGGCUCGCGUGCCGGUCUUCCUGCCUCUGCUGCACUUCAUGGAGGGCUACUCGGCUCAUCGUGGCGAGAAGAGGGCGUUCUGUCCCCCUUUCCACAACAGACUGAACCCAUCUCAGGCGGUUGCUCUGUGGAAAGGAAAACCCUGAAGAAGCUGCCGAGUGAAGGAGCGCCGGUGCAGUCUGCAGCAAGAGGCCUGAGGGAAACUCUCUGGACCUGUGACGCGGAACCUGGGCAGAGCAGAGCGUCCCAGACCUCAUGAGAGGCUCCACACUGAGGAAAGAUGAACAUCUAGCCGCUUCAUCCCCGCUCCUCCAGCGUGGAGUCUGUCACCUCUGGGGAAGCACCUCAGCGAGCCAUUUACCUCCCGCCGGGGGCUCCACCGGCCCCGCAUGUGUGCUGUGUCAACCCACCCAACAGCCUGCUUCGGUGUGUCAUUCCCAUUUUACAGAUGAGAAAGAAGACUUAAAAAUGAGGACUCUCCCAGCAUCUCAUGGCUGUUCAGAAGAGGAGCCCUACUUAACCCACAGGUCUGCGAAGCCGCUCCCACGGAGGGUCAGGUAGACAGCACCCAAGCUCGGCACGCCUCUCCCUCCCCCACCCGGGUGUCUGAAGACGCAGGGCUCACGCCAUGGUCCCCAGCGCUCCCUGGUCUCCUCUCGCCGGCUCUGAGCUGGUGCGCCCUCCCGCUGCCCGUCUGUCCUAGCCGUCUUCUCCUGAGCCAGCAAGUCCCUUCCUAGCCAUUGAGUUUCUGCCUCAUCUCCUAAUGUGAUUUAGAAACGCAGAGAUUUCCAGUUAGAGGAACCAUGGAGGCUGUUCUGAAGAGGGAGGCCUAGGUGGCUGGCCCGCGGUCGGAAGCCAGCUGUCUGAGGGAGGUGGCACAGGGACUGCGUGUGGCCCUCCGGGGCACAGAGUCGGCUGAACCAAAGCCUAGCGGAAGAGCCACGGCUAGCGCCCAGGCGUCCUCCCUGACCCCCGGCCCCGGACCGCCUCUGAGCAGCCGCAGUCCCUGCGGCCACGGUCUGCAUCCUGUUGCUCGCCCUUCCCUGUGCUCCCUGUCACUGCGCCCACAGCCCUGGAGGCUCCCGUCCCCAUCUCACUCGGCAGGGAACAGGGCUCUGAAAGGACCAUCCACAGUUACAAUUACUGAGAACUGCUAAAGCGUCUGCCAGACUUUGUAAGCAUCGCUGAUGCUUACUACGCGUUAAGGCAGGCGCCGACUCCAUUUUAUGGAAGAAAAGAAAGCGGUCCAGGAAGACUAACCGACGCAGCGGGCCGCGGGCCGGCACAGAGCCAGGGCGCAGCGGGCCGAGGCCUCGAGCCGGAGACUCUGUGGCACCACAUCUCUGCCUUUUGCACAGUGCGUGCGGCCAAGGUCCUGUGGCAGGUGAGUGAUGGCGGUGAGUGCAGCGGAGGACUCUGGCCUCUAACCCAGUCUUCUGUCUUUCAGGAUGUGCAGACACCCUGGAAGAGGGGUGGUGUGCAUGCAGACACACACACACACACACACACGCACAGUCCUCGACACCCUGUAGUAUAAAUACAGCAAUUUCACCCCAAGGACUGAUGUAAUUUUAAACCUUGUGGUUCUUUUCCCAACAGCAGGGCUCUUAUUUUAACGUCCUAACCUAAACUGUGAGCACAUGGGCUCUCCUUAGAGCAGAGUGCCAUUCUGGAUUUCAGACCCUGUGGGAGACGUUGGAUAAAGACCUCAUCCUGUUGAAGAGAGCUGCCGACGUUCUGGUUUUCGUUUCAAGACUGGAAACGAGCCCACAGCCCGGGGCUGCCUCACAUAGCCAGCAGAGGCUCCGGCCGAGUCCCUGACCAGAGGGGCUGCAGGAAAUCCGCGUGUUUCUCAGGAUGAGCUGUGGCUCGGAGCUUGGCCAGCUCACAGUGGGAGAGAACGUGGGAGACCAGUGACUUCUAGGCGUCAGCACGCUGCCAUUUCCACUGUCCCCUGCGCGUGCUGUGUGCUCCGGGUCCUGGACGGAGGGAGCCUAAUGCGGGUUUCCUCAGGGAUGUGAACUGGAGUAAGUGUACACAGUCGGGAGAUGAUGUCUUCAGAGAGAACGGCACACGCUGGGGCGCUGGGUGAACGCCAGCUGCUGCUCCUGCUUUGCUGCUACUGAUACUUGGGGCUGAGCGGUCUGACUCCUGACGCGGCUGAAAAGAGCAGGGGACUGGGAUGGGAAGACCUGAGUUUGCACCCUACCACUGCCGCUUACUGGCUGUGUGACCUCGGGGAGGUCACCGAGACCUUCUCAGCUCAGCUUCCUCAUCUGUCAAACAGGGAAACUGAAGACAGCUAACGUACAGGCAGCUUCCACGAGGGGCAAGUGAGGCGAUCUGCAUAAAGUUUCUCUGCCAGCUGCCAAACUCUGCAUGCCUGUGUCGUUUUGUCAUUGUUGGUGUUAAGGACUGAAUGUCUGUGUCCCCCCAAAAUGCAUGUGUUGAAACCCUGACUCCCAGUGUGAUGGCGUUAGGAGGCGGGGCUUUGGGGAGUAAUUAGGGUUAGGUGGGGUCGUGAGGGCCGAGCCUCCUCGAAGGGGUUAGUGUCCGUAUAAGAAGAGGACGGGUCUGGGGCUCUCUCCCUCUCCCUGUCUUGCAAAACAUCAGCUGUCUGCAGGCAAGGAGGACGGUCGUCACCAAGAACUGGAGGGGCGACUUGUCGACCUUGGACUUGGAGCCUCUGGGACUGUGAGAAGCAAGUGUCUGUUGUGUGAGACCCCCGUCUGUGUAUUCUGCUAGAGCAGCCCGAACUGACGGAGACAACAGUCGCUCCGGACCUGAAGAGCAUGUCUGAUUUUUUUUAUAAAAAUCUUGGUUAUGUGCUCAGGUCCUUAUGACUGAUCUCCACUUAGCCCCUUAAGUGAGGCAGCACCGAGCGUAGAACGCCGUCUUCCCCAGCACAACGCUGUGUGCUGGUCUCAGGGCCGACCUCUGUGCACGUGUGAAGUCCCAGGUCUGCAGAGCUGCUGAGGCAGAGAAGGGUCGUCGACUGCGGUCCCCGCUCUGUGGGUGUUGUAUCUGAUGUUGCAAUCGUCAGGGUUUUCAGAUCUCACCUCCCCCUCCCCCCAGAGCAUUUAGAACAACUGGCAAUUCAGCCCCUCCCCACCGUCCUGGGUGCCUGAUCCUUUCGUCCCCACCCCGAGGGUGGAGGUCGUUGGGCUUGGGACCUCGAAAUCCUGCCUCCUCGACUUUCUAGCCGUGUUACCCUGGGCAUGUCACUUAACUUUCCCACACAUCCAUUUCUCAGCUGCAAAAUGGGAGGGAAUAACUGGUUGGGAAAUUUUAAUAAGACAGCACAUUUAAAAUUCUCAGAGCCACAUCCAGCACCGGGUCACUCCCCAGCUUUGCCCUCCGUCCCUGAGCACUCUUCUCAUUCACCGCUUGCUUCUUUUCUUUAAUAAUAAACAACAUAACAUUUUAAUUAAUUAGUUUAUACCUGUAUAUUUCUGGAAAAAUCGUAUUUUUAAUAAAAUGUGUUAAAUAUUCAGA